GCGACCCCAGGUCAGGCGGGACUACCCGCUGAAUUUAAGCAUAUAAAUAAGCGGAGGAGAAGAAACUUACAAGGAUUCCCCUAGUAACGGCGAGCGAACGGG
Molecule: ribosomal RNA, 102 nt
Filed under: Poa laxa subsp. fernaldiana
Lineage: Eukaryota; Viridiplantae; Streptophyta; Magnoliopsida; Poales; Poaceae
Description: partial 26S ribosomal RNA
Rfam family: Eukaryotic large subunit ribosomal RNA
Source: RNAcentral